GGGCCCAUAGUCUAGUGGUUAUGUGGCAAAACCAUACCGCUGAUGACAUCACAUUCACACUGUGAAGGUCGAGGGUUCGAACCCCUCUGGGCCCA
RNAcentral lists this transfer RNA (95 nucleotides) under Candidatus Woesearchaeota archaeon. RNAcentral describes it as "tRNA-Val". It matches the Rfam family "tRNA". Rfam says of the family: Transfer RNA (tRNA) molecules are approximately 80 nucleotides in length. The record is from RNAcentral. Lineage: Archaea; Nanobdellati; Candidatus Woesearchaeota.